RNAcentral lists this ribosomal RNA (260 nucleotides) under uncultured bacterium. RNAcentral describes it as "partial 16S ribosomal RNA". It matches the Rfam family "Bacterial small subunit ribosomal RNA", at positions 95 to 354 of the family's 1533-position model. The record is from RNAcentral.
CCGGCGCACGGGUGAGUAACGCGUAUGCAACCUACCUAUCAGAGGGGAAUAACCCGGCGAAAGUCGGACUAAUACCGCAUAAAACAGGGGUUCCACAUGGAAAUAUUUGUUAAAGAAUUAUCGCUGAUAGAUGGGCAUGCGUUCCAUUAGAUAGUUGGUGAGGUAACGGCUCACCAAGUCCACGAUGGAUAGGGGUUCUGAGAGGAAGGUCCCCCACACUGGUACUGAGACACGGACCAGACUCCUACGGGAGGCAGCAG